GUCCAAUACUCAUUCCUAUGAAGCUGCUGGAACUAGAAAGUUUUGCCAGCUUUCAUAACUGUGAGCUCAUUAAAGCCCACCAAUCAAUGUCCACAAACUUACAGACCUGUUUUGUUUUCCACUGUUUCAGUUCUGUAGUUUAAUGAGUGUCUUUUUCUUCCUCUUUUCCAUGGGAGUACCAAGGCUGAUACAUCAUGCAUCAGACCCAGAUA
Molecule: long non-coding RNA, 212 nt
Filed under: Elaeis guineensis (African oil palm)
Lineage: Eukaryota; Viridiplantae; Streptophyta; Magnoliopsida; Arecales; Arecaceae
Description: long non-coding RNA (EGUI_LNC020868)
Source: RNAcentral